RNAcentral lists this long non-coding RNA (372 nucleotides) under Pongo abelii (Sumatran orangutan). RNAcentral's name for it is "lincRNA". The record is from RNAcentral. Lineage: Eukaryota; Metazoa; Chordata; Mammalia; Primates; Hominidae.
GGAGCGGAGUUAGGGUCGCCAGGCCGAGCCGAGGUGGGACGGACCGACGCAGAGAGGAAGGGAAGCCACCUGGCCUGAAGAUCCCGUCUCUAAGAUCCCAUUCUGAGGCUUCGAGGGUCUGGCUUGAGCAGCACAGACAGGGAUGUGUCUAAUUGGGAUGACCAUGAGGUCUCAUCGCAGUUUGCCACUAACCAGGACCCUAGGAGUUCUGUUUUAUUGUCUCCACUUGACAGAUAAGGAAAUGGCAGCUGACCCAGGUCAAGGAAGUUUCUGAGGUCCUAGGGCUGAUAAGCGGCCUGACUCCACCACCAGCCCCCAGGAGGAAGCCAACCCCAGCCCUAGAAAAACCCGAUUCCUGAGUGAGUGCUGUAA